CCAAUGUGAACGUUACCAAACUGUUGCCUCGGCGGGGUCACGCCCCGGGUGCGUCGCAGCCCCGGAACCAGGCGCCCGCCGGAGGAACCAACCAAACUCUUUCUGUAGUCCCCUCGCGGACGUAUUUCUUACAGCUCUGAGCAAAAAUUCAAAAUGAAUCAAAACUUUCAACAACGGAUCUCUUGGUUCUGGCAUCGAUGAAGAACGCAGCGAAAUGCGAUAAGUAAUGUGAAUUGCAGAAUUCAGUGAAUCAUCGAAUCUUUGAACGCACAUUGCGCCCGCCAGUAUUCUGGCGGGCAUGCCUGUCCGAGCGUCAUUUCAACCCUCGAACCCCUCCGGGGGAUCGGCGUUGGGGAUCGGGACCCCUCACACGGGUGCCGGCCCCGAAAUACAGUGGCGGUCUCGCCGCAGCCUCUCCUGCGCAGUAGUUUGCACAACUCGCACCGGGAGCGCGGCGCGUCCACGUCCGUAAAACACCCAACUUUCUGAAAUGUUGACCUCGGAUCAGGUAGGAAUACCCGCUGAACUUAAGCAUAUCA
This 539-nucleotide ribosomal RNA is filed under the name Trichoderma asperellum. RNAcentral describes it as "eukaryotic LSU rRNA". The stretch from base 163 to 316 matches the Rfam family "5.8S ribosomal RNA". The record is from RNAcentral. Lineage: Eukaryota; Fungi; Ascomycota; Sordariomycetes; Hypocreales; Hypocreaceae.